Daphnia carinata is the source of this 408-nucleotide long non-coding RNA. RefSeq lists it as uncharacterized. NCBI's taxonomy places the organism in Eukaryota, Metazoa, Arthropoda, Branchiopoda, Diplostraca, Daphniidae. The transcript is spliced from 2 exons. The record is from RefSeq and is a predicted model, not a curated record.
CGUGUAUAUAAGGGCGUACACUCUUUCUCGCUGUUUAAAUUGGACAUUGUAUCUCUAGUCGAUUAACACGCAACAAUCCAUACGAGAAAAUGAAAUUUCUUUUCUUCGCCUUGGCUGCCAUGGUCACCGUUUCAAUGGCGGCUUUCCAAAUGCCACCUCCGCCACCGACUGAAUUUCCUCUUUCAACUGGAGGUCCACUUCCGCCUACUGGAUCACCAACUGGUGGCUUACGUCCUCAACCACGUCCUCCAGGUCCUCGUCCAGCCCGUCUCACGCAGAAUUUUCUGGACCAGUCCAAAGCCUCAAAUUAAACAACCCAGUAUUUCGUAAAGCGCAUCUUCGAUGCAUUUUUCUUUAUCAAUUGUCAUUUAAUUAUUUCACCUAACAAUAAAUAUCGUUUUAAAAGCA